CGGCGGCCGUGCGUGCACCGGCGGGGGUCGCGCACCUCCCGGAGCCAGCGGCCCGAUGGCCAAGCGGCGCGCGGAGCCCUUGGUGUGUCACGUGCCCGUCAAACGGCUCCUGCGCGAGCCGCCGCUGCCCCGCGCUGCCGCGCCCGAGCGGCGCCCCAGGGCCGAAGGGGCGGGCGCCGGCCCUGCCGCCCCGAAGCGGAAGCUGGAGGAGGCUGACGCGCCGCCGGGCAAGCGGCCCGGGCUGCGGGGGAGCAGCCCCCGCGGCGAGCAGGGAGACGCCGGGGGCAGGCGGUGGCGGCGCGGCGCGGCCGCGGCGCCCCAGGACGAGCGGACGGCGGAGGGACGCGCAGGUAGCCAGGGCAAAGAGCGUGCCGCCAUCGCUGAGCCAGAAGAAGAAUUCUGUCAGUAUAACUCAUUCCUGUAUUGGAGAACACCAUUGCCUGCUAUUGAUUUGUCUGAUAUUCAGAACCUAGAUGGAGAGACUCCAUCAGAAACUAAACCUCCUUCAAGGACUGAUACCAUGGAGACUGAAAUGGAGACCUGAUCAGUUGUUUCAUGGUUGUACAUCUACUCACAGAAAACUUGUUUCGAUUUGGAUUCUUUUUUUUUUUUUUUUUGCUUGGGAGAAAACUAAGCAUGCUUCUGCCUUCUUGAAGAAACAGCGUUAUGUCAGUUGCAAAAGCUGACAAAAAAUUGUCUGAGUGGAUGGGCUAAUCACUAUUGGGUACUGGAUAGUAAGCUGUCUGGAGGUGUAUUGGGGAGGCUAUGAUGUCUAGCAAGAAUGCUUGAAAACAUGGAGGCAGGGUAAAAGACUACAGAAAAUUAGGGUUUUGGAAUGCAGUUAAAUAGGUAUGUUACAUGUGAAGGGAAAUGGAAAAUCAUUUUGCCUGUCCUGAACAAAAAGAUGUAACUGUGGUACCCAAAAGUGAGAUAUUUAUCAUGUGAAAUAAAGCACACAAACUGUAGUGAUUAGAGAUUUUUAAUGUUGUUUGUCUGGUUGCUUGUAUUUUCAUUUUCUUUUUCUUUUCCUUUUUUUUUUGUUGUCGUUGUUGUUGUUGUUUUGUUUGUUGUGGGGUUUUUUUGUCAUCGUUGUUUUUUGUUUUUUGUUACAUGUGUAAUAGCUAAACCAAAAAAUAAGAGCCUACCAAAACUAGACAGAACAUUCCCUUUUCUAUGCAAACCAAAACCAAGUGUGGAAGGGAGGGGAAAGAAAAAGGGGAUCUUUUCUUCUGUAAGCUGCCAGUGUUCUGAAAGUUUUUCAUACUCUCCUUGUGAAAAAGUUUUUUCACCUUCUCCUGUUCAGAUUGCCUGAAGCAGAGGGCAGCCAGCUUUUAGAUUUUUGGUUCAUUCUCAAGUUAAUGCUAUUCUUAUUCUAUAUAAUGUUAGCUCUGAACCAGUCGGUAGCAUCGAAAUGGCAGGUGUGCAUGUCAACAAAAGUGAAUACAAUAUAAAAUUACAACACAGACUUUUUCAAACUUAACUGACUGUGGUGUAGUUUUUGCAGAGACUGUGGAUCUUGCAAAAAAUUUUUACAGAAGUUCACUGAAUUAGUGUUUGGUUUUAUUUCUGUGGAAUAAUAAUUUCAAUGUUUGUCUCCUGUAAUUUAUUUACAAGUUGGAGUACAUUUAGAAAUACUUGUCUUUAAUAAUAGACUGAAGUUGUAUAAGGCAGACUGUCAGACUUUGCAAAUGUGAUCUGUCUUUAAGGAUAGAAAACACUGUAUUUUUUCUGGAGUUACUGAAGAAGGCAACUUGUGAACUUUAUUUUUUUUUUUAAGAAUGUAUUUUUUUUUUUUUUUUUAAUGAUGCUAAAGGAAAAUAAAAUUUUGCCUGUGUGUAUUUGAAAACUUUUGGAAUAUUACUGUGUGAAGUUCCUGAUUUUGUAUCUUAAGAUUGUUGCUUCUGUAACUUUGUCAUUUUGUUAGGUCGUUUUGCUUAAAACAGCUUGUCAGCCUUCUUAGUAAAUAUUUGGAAACUUUUUUUCAGUAUUUGUGCUGUAAGGUGUCUCCGUUUGUUCACGGCUUGUUUAGAUUGUUAGGUUCUCUUAGUACCCACGGAAGAAAGCAGGUGACUUAGUGACUCAAGCCUUUCAUGGUGCUUGUUUAGAUAUGCUCCUACCUGCUGUCAGGUUAGCUGGAUACAUAAUUAAACAAGAUUUAUUUUUCUCACACAUUUUUAAUUAUAUUUUUAAACUCCAAAUACAUCAACUUGUCAUAGGAGGUACUUUAAAAAUGUUUUUUAAAACAAACUCCUUUUCUGGCAAGAAUGCAACUGCUAUUUCACAUUUACUGUAACUAAAAUAAAUUAAUGAGGGAACAGUUUUGUUAAUUCGUUGAGGCGUUGAAUUUGGUUUUGUUUGGUUGUGGUUUUUUACCCUAGGUAAUAUAUGCAUUCUUACGUUUGUGAGAUUUAAGUUUCACACCAUUCAGUAUUCUCAGGAUCCAGUAUUUUGCUAGUAUGAGGUGUCCCUGCCCAUGGCAGGGGGUUUGAACUAAAUGAUCUUAAGAUCCUUCUCAACCCUAACUAUUCUAUGAUUAGUUAGUAUCUUUGCAGAUGUAACUUAGGUCACUCUUAAAUCUUCUCGGAGCUUUAUACACAGUAGGUAUGUCCUAGCAAUAGACUGCAUUUUAAUGCUGAAGUCUGUCUCUUGAGUAUAUUCACAGGACAGAAGCGG
This 2673-nucleotide long non-coding RNA is filed under the name Strigops habroptila (Kakapo). RNAcentral describes it as "lncRNA (ENSSHBG00005014497.1)". Lineage: Eukaryota; Metazoa; Chordata; Aves; Psittaciformes; Psittacidae. The record is from RNAcentral.